RNAcentral lists this transfer RNA (70 nucleotides) under Phalloptychus januarius. RNAcentral's name for it is "tRNA-Val". It matches the Rfam family "tRNA". From Rfam's summary of the family: Transfer RNA (tRNA) molecules are approximately 80 nucleotides in length. Their secondary structure includes four short double-helical elements and three loops (D, anti-codon, and T loops). The record is from RNAcentral. Lineage: Eukaryota; Metazoa; Chordata; Actinopteri; Cyprinodontiformes; Poeciliidae.
CAGAGCGUAGCUAAGACAAAAGCAUCUCCCUUACACUGAGAAGUCACCUGUGCAAACCAGGUCGCCCUGA